Molecule: long non-coding RNA, 225 nt
Filed under: Lathyrus oleraceus (garden pea)
Lineage: Eukaryota; Viridiplantae; Streptophyta; Magnoliopsida; Fabales; Fabaceae
Description: Pisum sativum (pea) long non-coding RNA (PSAT_LNC009734)
Source: RNAcentral
AAAAGCUUAAAAUAAUUGAUUAAAAAUGAUUUUUUUUCUUCUGUUCUUUUUUAUGUUUUGUUGUCUCUUUGUGUGUAAAAAUACAGGUAUUGAGUUAAGUUCAAGCUUAUAGGAUUAUGUUAUGUGGUUAAAUAAUAGUAAUGAUUUGUAUACAACACUAUAUCACCAAUUUGUAGUCUUGCAUUCUUGCAUGAUCAUAAUUAUAUAUUUUAAUUAUUUAUAUCC